GAUGAACGCUGGCGGCGUGCCUAAUACAUGCAAGUCGAGCGAACGGACGAGAAGCUUGCUUUUCUGAUGUUAGCGGCGGACGGGUGAGUAACACGUGGAUAACCUACCUAUAAGACUGGGAUAACUUCGGGAAACCGGAGCUAAUACCGGAUAAUAUUUUGAACCGCAUGGUUCAAAAGUGAAAGACGGUCUUGCUGUCACUUAUAGAUGGAUCCGCGCUGCAUUAGCUAGUUGGUAAGGUAACGGCUUACCAAGGCAACGAUGCAUAGACGACCUGAGAGGGUGAUCGGCCACACUGGAACUGAGACACGGUCCAGACUCCUACGGGAGGCAGCAGUAGGGAAUCUUCCGCAAUGGGCGAAAGCCUGACGGAGCAACGCCGCGUGAGUGAUGAAGGUCUUCGGAUCGUAAAACUCUGUUAUUAGGGAAGAACAAAUGUGUAAGUAACUGUGCACAUCUUGACGGUACCUAAUCAGAAAGCCACGGCUAACUACGUG
This 497-nucleotide ribosomal RNA is filed under the name uncultured bacterium. RNAcentral's name for it is "partial 16S ribosomal RNA". It matches the Rfam family "Bacterial small subunit ribosomal RNA", at positions 28 to 507 of the family's 1533-position model. The record is from RNAcentral.